UCACGAGCAUCAUCACGGAAUCCCCGUCACAGAUUACUUCUCGUGACGGCGCGCGCAAAACAGUGUCACUGAAAAUGGGACCUUCGGUGACGUUUUAUAGAACGUCAACAGCUUGCUAUUUCUAUGACGGUGGAGUGAUGUCACAAGUUAGGAGCAAAGAUGCCAUGUUGUACAAUAUUCAAUGAUGGAGCAACGUUACUGACUUUAUGCCACAUCAACACCCGCACAGAUUACCCCACUACGAGCAUCACUACUUUCAUUAUUGAUGAAGAUGACAUCAUCAAAAUACAUUUACUAUAUUUUGAAUAACUUGCUAUGAAUUAUCAGAUCCACUAUAUUGCAAAUGCAUUUCAAUAGUAAGUAUUUAAUUCACAUCACAUCACAUUAUAUAAAUAAACUGUGAGCCAAAUCACAUUAUGAAACGAAAGACAAAUCAUAUCAUAUAUUCAAUCUCUUAGGCAAAUCAUCCUCUAAAUAGAAAUGACAAUAAAAAAUAACACCGAAUCAAGUUUGACACGACAAUACACAAGACAAUGGAAUCUUGCUGAGUUGCUUGAGCCCUCAAUAGAAAACCAAUCAGGUUAACUGUAUCAUGUGUUGCUUCUUUUCACAUGCUUCAUUCUUCUUUUGUUGGCUCUUCUUCACCGCUUCCAAUUCUUCUUGAUGCUUCCUUUGCAUCUCUUCAAGUGCUCUGUCUUGUGCUUCAAAUCUCACAGCUAACUCCCCCAAUGCCUAUAAACUGAGGAAACACAACAGCGUGUUGCAUCUUAAUGCGAUGAAAACAUACAAGAUAAAAACGUAUAACAGUACCACUAAGAAGCAUAUAAUCUAUCAGAUUACGAAUCUGAGUACAUUAUUAACUAGAUUUGCGGGUAUGCAGAUGGGCCAAUAAUACGGUAUAUUAGUUUGGCAAAACAAGAAGACACAAACUUGUAUAAAAAUUGUCGGUCAAAAAAAUUUACAUGGAUCCCUGCUGCACUUUUAACUAGUGUGCUACUUAAAGUUCUAAGUAGCAUGUGAAUGACUAGUGAGUCCAGUAGGGCGGCAUAUGACAAUGAACUAUAGUAAUCUACUGAACAUAUUUCAUAAUUAGGCCCCGUUUGAUAACAAAGUAUUAUAAAAACUGAAGUAUUGCAAACUACAGUAAUUUAGUUCGUAGAUACACAAUACCACAGUUUUGCCAUAACAGAGUAUUUGAAAGUAUUUAGAAUAUUGUUCACCUGUUUGGCAAGAACCGUUUCAAGCAGUUCCGAACGGUGCGUUGAGCUAGCUAGACACAUCUAAACUGAUUAACGGCCAUGCACUUAGCACAGAUGUAUGAUCAUGCACGAACUGAAUGGCCAAGCUAAACACGCCAUGCACAAUCUCGGUGUUACACCUACCAGAGCAAAUUGGAUUAGGAGGAGGCAGUCAACGGCGGAGCUGCACGUUGCCCCGAGCAGCUUGGUUUUCUUUUCGCGUCUCGGAUCACCAAGAGGUGUGCGUGGAGGCAUGACCUAAAGCUCCGCAGGACGGUGGUGUCGGCAACGGAUCAUGCGGCGAAGCUGCUCGUGAACUGAAAAAACUUGGCUUUCAUCCGCGUUGCCCGGAGCAGCUUGCUCCACCCCAUCAACCAUGGCAGUUCGUACUGCACUGUACUGCCGUUCCUUGAUCUGUCCAUGGCCGCCCGAUCAAGACGACCUCCACAGACAAUGGGGCUGCCGGCGGCGGCUUGGGAGCGACCGAAGAUAACGAUGAGUUUGUUCUUUCGCGUGCUCAGUUUAAAAAAAGAGAGGCCUGAGGUUCUUUUUUUAAACAGAGAAAAUACCAUAGUAUUGGAAAAACUGCAGUAUUAAUAUCUUAGUUUUUAGGUCUUGUCAAACAGCUCAAAGUAAUUAAAACCAUGGUAAUCCUAAAAACUGUAGUAUUUUCAGAAUACUUAGAAAAUACAGAGCUAUCAAACAGGGCCUUAGUUGCAUAAGUAUAGUUGUUUGACGCUUUGGUUACUACAAAAGUUUAGAUCAGCGCAUCACUACAAAAACAGAUCGGUAAUGUACUAAAAAAUCGCAGAUCAAAACAGAAAAAUGUUUCUUUAGUAAGAAGUGACAGCCAUUCAUCCAUUCAAUGUACUGAACAAUCUCAGAAUGAUGCAAUAUCUGGAGGUCAUCACCCAACCACUACAUGCCACAUUAUUCCUGUUAACUGUAUGUUUUCUCAUCUCUGAAUUGAUUUAGACAUGCUAUGAAUUUGGCCGUUCAUCACCUUAUGUACAACUACGUGCCAUAAGCAACUAGUACUAGUACUAUCUACACUAUUUUAAUCAGUUGUGUGCUUACUCACCUUCCCCAACAGCUACAGCUAAUUGUGUACGUGCACUGGAGUUGUACGCUGCUUACUCAAUCUAAAUAUAACAAAUAAAAAUACAAGUUAUGCACAAAGGAAGGACACGAUGAGCUUAAAUGGUAGGCAUACACAACCAGGUAAGGAAUUGUCAAGUACUGGACUGUAAGAAAACAGAAAGUGGAGAAGUUAGUAAAAAGUUUAAGCUUCAGACUUUACCAACAUAGCAAGGUCGAUAAGAUUAUCUUGAUAUUGCAAACCCAGUCCUGCUACCUAUGGUGAGCAGUCGAUUAAUGCGCCUGCGUUAUAGGGGAAUAAAACAGAAGAGACAGAGUAUACUGACAAGUGUUCACAUGGAGAAAAAAUAUUACAGAAUAACAUAAUCAUUUUCUGUUCCACCGAGCAGUAUUAGCAUCUGAAUGAACCUUUUAGUAUAUAGAUUUUUCAGCAGCUAGUAACUAUGGUAUGGCCCAUGAUACAAGCCCUCGGCUAUUCCUAGUAUAGUUGCGCUGUUAAUACUCUGAACGUAGAGUCUAGUCAUAUAUUAGAUGUUCUUGAGCAUGCUGGAGAUUGCAUAAUAUUGCAGCUUAAAGGGGAAACUUGAGUUGAAAUUAUUCAUUGUAGAAAUUCAGAGACAGUUCGGAACAUAGAAGUAUGAACCAUACCUUUGAUAAGAGCAAAGGACAUUGAUCUUACUCCUGAUCUAGAUGAACUGCAACUAGGAAAAGGAGAUCUCAGAUAGGUGGUUAGAAGAGCCAAAUUCCAGAUCACAAAUCCUACAUCAGGAAAUUAUGGAAGAAAAAGGAACCAGCAAAAUAUUACCCUCGAGUAGUUGAAGGGGAGCAGAUCUAAUGGUGCUGUAGCCGGGUUCCUUGAGAGUUUCCAACCCAUCACCUAGCCUAUCUGCAUCAUCGGGUUGCCUCUCCCAAACCUGGUG
This 3256-nucleotide long non-coding RNA is filed under the name Triticum aestivum (bread wheat). Its description in RNAcentral is "long non-coding RNA (TAES_LNC023574)". Lineage: Eukaryota; Viridiplantae; Streptophyta; Magnoliopsida; Poales; Poaceae. The record is from RNAcentral.